Methylocystis sp. is the source of this 76-nucleotide non-coding RNA. Lineage: Bacteria; Pseudomonadati; Pseudomonadota; Alphaproteobacteria; Hyphomicrobiales; Methylocystaceae. The record is from Rfam.
CGCAUGGGGAAGCGAUCUCCCCACGAGGCGACAUGCCCAAGAAUCGGGUCCAGUUUUCCACCAAGGGCGCAUCAUG